This 21-nucleotide non-coding RNA is filed under the name Caenorhabditis elegans. The record is from RNAcentral. Lineage: Eukaryota; Metazoa; Nematoda; Chromadorea; Rhabditida; Rhabditidae.
UUUGUAAAUCGAAAAAGUCAA